Paramuricea clavata is the source of this 222-nucleotide non-coding RNA. The record is from the annotation of a GenBank genome assembly. Lineage: Eukaryota; Metazoa; Cnidaria; Anthozoa; Malacalcyonacea; Plexauridae.
GCUAUAAGGGACGAGAAUGCCAAAAAAAUGUAAGAGAGGAUUGUUGAGAAUUGUGCAAAAUAUAGUGGUGUUUUAUUACAAUGAACCGAAAUAUGAUCAAGUUAGGUCAUUCAAUAAACUCAGAUACGUCCUAAAUCCUUAAAAAAGUCAUGGAAGACUAGUAUAUUGAGUUAAAGUUGCACUAUUAAUAUUAUUUUAGUGAUACUAAUGUUGACAUGGUCG